Molecule: ribosomal RNA, 307 nt
Filed under: uncultured bacterium
Lineage: Bacteria
Description: bacterial SSU rRNA
Rfam family: Bacterial small subunit ribosomal RNA
Source: RNAcentral
GCGCCGGCUAACUCCGUGCCAGCAGCCGCGGUAAUACGGAGGGUGCGAGCGUUAAUCGGAAUUACUGGGCGUAAAGCGCAUGCAGGUGGUUUGUUAAGUCAGAUGUGAAAGACCCGGGGCUCAACCUCGGAAUAGCAUUUGAAACUGGCAGACUAGAGUACUGUAGAGGGGGGUAGGAAUUUCAGGUGUAGCGGUGAAAUGCGUAGAGAUCUGAAGGAAUACCGGUGGCGAAGGCGGCCCCCUCGGACAGAUACUGACACUCAGAUGCGAAAGCGUGGGGAGCAAACAGGAUUAGAUACCCUGGUAG